Molecule: non-coding RNA, 21 nt
Filed under: Arabidopsis thaliana (thale cress)
Lineage: Eukaryota; Viridiplantae; Streptophyta; Magnoliopsida; Brassicales; Brassicaceae
Source: RNAcentral
UGUAUGUAUUCGGGAUCACGC